RNAcentral lists this transfer RNA (86 nucleotides) under Sphingomonas xinjiangensis. RNAcentral's name for it is "tRNA-Leu". It matches the Rfam family "tRNA". Rfam says of the family: Transfer RNA (tRNA) molecules are approximately 80 nucleotides in length. Their secondary structure includes four short double-helical elements and three loops (D, anti-codon, and T loops). The record is from RNAcentral. Lineage: Bacteria; Pseudomonadati; Pseudomonadota; Alphaproteobacteria; Sphingomonadales; Sphingomonadaceae.
GCGGACGUGGCGGAAUGGUAGACGCCGGGGACUUAAAAUCCCCUGCCAUUCGGGGCGUGCGGGUUCGAGUCCCGCCGUCCGUACCA